This 27-nucleotide non-coding RNA is filed under the name Mus musculus (house mouse). RNAcentral also lists the same sequence under 1 other name. The record is from RNAcentral. Lineage: Eukaryota; Metazoa; Chordata; Mammalia; Rodentia; Muridae.
UGGGAUUAUAGGCAUGUGCCACCAUGC